CAGGUUUACCUGUGUGACUGCGUACCUUUUGUAUAAUGGGUCAGCGACUUAUAUUCUGUAGCAAGGUUAACCGUAUAGGGGAGCCGUAGGGAAACCGAGUCUUAACCGGGCGUUAAGUUGCAGGGUAUAGACCCGAAACCCGGUGAUCUAGCCAUGGGCAGGUUGAAGGUUGGGUAACACUAACUGGAGGACCGAACCGACUAAUGUUGAAAAAUUAGCGGAUGACCUGUGGCUGGGGGUGAAAGGCCAAUCAAACCGGGAGAUAGCUGGUUCUCCCCGAAAGCUAUUUAGGUAGCGCCUCGUGAAUUCAUCUCCGGGGGUAGAGCACUGUUUCGGCUAGGGGGCCAUCCCGGCUUACCAACCCGAUGCAAACUGCGAAUACCGGAGAAUGUUAUCACGGGAGACACACGGCGGGUGCUAACGUCCGUCGUGAAGAGGGAAACAACCCAGACCGCCAGCUAAGGUCCCAAAGUCAUGGUUAAGUGGGAAACGAUGUGGGAAGGCCCAGACAGCCAGGAUGUUGGCUUAGAAGCAGCCAUCAUUUAAAGAAAGCGUAAUAGCUCACUGGUCGAGUCGGCCUGCGCGGAAGAUGUAACGGGGCUAAACCAUGCACCGAAGCUGCGGCAGCGACGCUGAUGCGUUGUUGGGUAGGGGAGCGUUCUGUAAGCCUGCGAAGGUGGCCUGUGAGGGUUGCUGGAGGUAUCAGAAGUGCGAAUGCUGACAUAAGUAACGAUAAAGCGGGUGAAAAGCCCGCUCGCCGGAAGACCAAGGGUUCCUGUCCAACGUUAAUCGGGGCAGGGUGAGUCGACCCCUAAGGCGAGGCCGAAAGGCGUAGUCGAUGGGAAACGGGUUAAUAUUCCCGUACUUGGUGUUACUGCGAAGGGGGGACGGAGAAGGCUAUGUUGGCCGGGCGACGGUUGUCCCGGUUUAAGCGUGUAGGUGUGUGUUCCAGGUAAAUCCGGUUCACUUUAACACUGAGGCGUGAUGACGAGGCACUAC
This 999-nucleotide ribosomal RNA is filed under the name Salmonella enterica. RNAcentral describes it as "partial 23S ribosomal RNA". It matches the Rfam family "Bacterial large subunit ribosomal RNA", at positions 580 to 1580 of the family's 2925-position model. Lineage: Bacteria; Pseudomonadati; Pseudomonadota; Gammaproteobacteria; Enterobacterales; Enterobacteriaceae. The record is from RNAcentral.